GGUCAAGUGAAGAAGCGCAUACGGUGGAUGCCUUGGCAGUCAGAGGCGAUGAAAGACGUGGUAGCCUGCGAAAAGCUUCGGGGAGUCGGCAAACAGACUUUGAUCCGGAGAUCUCUGAAUGGGGGAACCCACCUAGGAUAACCUAGGUAUCUUGUACUGAAUCCAUAGGUGCAAGAGGCGAACCAGGGGAACUGAAACAUCUAAGUACCCUGAGGAAAAGAAAUCAACCGAGAUUCCCUUAGUAGUGGCGAGCGAACGGGGAUUAGCCCUUAAGCUUCAUUGAUUUUAGCGGAACGCUCUGGAAAGUGCGGCCAUAGUGGGUGAUAGCCCCGUACGCGAAAGGAUCUUUGAAGUGAAAUCGAGUAGGACGGAGCACGAGAAACUUUGUCUGAACAUGGGGGGACCAUCCUCCAAGGCUAAAUACUACUGACUGACCGAUAGUGAACCAGUACCGUGAGGGAAAGGCGAAAAGAACCCCGGAGAGGGGAGUGAAAUAGAACCUGAAACCGUAUGCGUACAAGCAGUGGGAGCCUACUUGUUAGGUGACUGCGUACCUUUUGUAUAAUGGGUCAGCGACUUAUAUUCAGUGGCAAGCUUAACCGUAUAGGGUAGGCGUAGCGAAAGCGAGUCUUAAUAGGGCGUUUAGUCGCUGGGUAUAGACCCGAAACCGGGCGAUCUAUCCAUGAGCAGGUUGAAGGUUAGGUAACACUGACUGGAGGACCGAACCCACUCCCGUUGAAAAGGUAGGGGAUGACUUGUGGAUCGGAGUGAAAGGCUAAUCAAGCUCGGAGAUAGCUGGUUCUCCUCGAAAGCUAUUUAGGUAGCGCCUCAUGUAUCACUCUGGGGGGUAGAGCACUGUUUCGGCUAGGGGGUCAUCCCGACUUACCAAACCGAUGCAAACUCCGAAUACCCAGAAGUGCCGAGCAUGGGAGACACACGGCGGGUGCUAACGUCCGUCGUGAAAAGGGAAACAACCCAGGCCGCCAGCUAAGGUCCCAAAGUUGUGGUUAAGUGGUAAACGAUGUGGGAAGGCUUAGACAGCUAGGAGGUUGGCUUAGAAGCAGCCAUCCUUUAAAGAAAGCGUAAUAGCUCACUAGUCGAGUCGGCCUGCGCGGAAGAUGUAACGGGGCUCAAACCACACACCGAAGCUGCGGGUGUCACGUAAGUGACGCGGUAGAGGAGCGUUCUGUAAGCCUGUGAAGGUGAGUUGAGAAGCUUGCUGGAGGUAUCAGAAGUGCGAAUGCUGACAUGAGUAACGACAAUGGGUGUGAAAAACACCCACGCCGAAAGACCAAGGGUUCCUGCGCAACGUUAAUCGACGCAGGGUUAGUCGGUUCCUAAGGCGAGGCUGAAAAGCGUAGUCGAUGGGAAACAGGUUAAUAUUCCUGUACUUCUGGUUACUGCGAUGGAGGGACGGAGAAGGCUAGGCCAGCUUGGCGUUGGUUGUCCAAGUUUAAGGUGGUAGGCUGAAAUCUUAGGUAAAUCCGGGGUUUCAAGGCCGAGAGCUGAUGACGAGUCGUCUUUUAGAUGACGAAGUGGUUGAUGCCAUGCUUCCAAGAAAAGCUUCUAAGCUUCAGGUAACCAGGAACCGUACCCCAAACCGACACAGGUGGUCGGGUAGAGAAUACCAAGGCGCUUGAGAGAACUCGGGUGAAGGAACUAGGCAAAAUGGCACCGUAACUUCGGGAGAAGGUGCGCCGGCUAGGGUGAAGGAUUUACUCCGUAAGCUCUGGCUGGUCGAAGAUACCAGGCCGCUGCGACUGUUUAUUAAAAACACAGCACUCUGCAAACACGAAAGUGGACGUAUAGGGUGUGACGCCUGCCCGGUGCCGGAAGGUUAAUUGAUGGGGUUAGCGCAAGCGAAGCUCUUGAUCGAAGCCCCGGUAAACGGCGGCCGUAACUAUAACGGUCCUAAGGUAGCGAAAUUCCUUGUCGGGUAAGUUCCGACCUGCACGAAUGGCGUAACGAUGGCGGCGCUGUCUCCACCCGAGACUCAGUGAAAUUGAAAUCGCUGUGAAGAUGCAGUGUAUCCGCGGCUAGACGGAAAGACCCCGUGAACCUUUACUGUAGCUUUGCACUGGACUUUGAGCCUGCUUGUGUAGGAUAGGUGGGAGGCUUUGAAGCGUGGACGCCAGUUCGCGUGGAGCCAUCCUUGAAAUACCACCCUGGCAUGCUUGAGGUUCUAACUCUGGUCCGUGAUCCGGAUCGAGGACAGUGUAUGGUGGGCAGUUUGACUGGGGCGGUCUCCUCCUAAAGAGUAACGGAGGAGUACGAAGGUGCGCUCAGACCGGUCGGAAAUCGGUCGCAGAGUAUAAAGGCAAAAGCGCGCUUGACUGCGAGACAGACACGUCGAGCAGGUACGAAAGUAGGUCUUAGUGAUCCGGUGGUUCUGUAUGGAAGGGCCAUCGCUCAACGGAUAAAAGGUACUCCGGGGAUAACAGGCUGAUACCGCCCAAGAGUUCAUAUCGACGGCGGUGUUUGGCACCUCGAUGUCGGCUCAUCACAUCCUGGGGCUGAAGCCGGUCCCAAGGGUAUGGCUGUUCGCCAUUUAAAGUGGUACGCGAGCUGGGUUUAGAACGUCGUGAGACAGUUCGGUCCCUAUCUGCCGUGGACGUUUGAGAUUUGAGAGGGGCUGCUCCUAGUACGAGAGGACCGGAGUGGACGAACCUCUGGUGUUCCGGUUGUCACGCCAGUGGCAUUGCCGGGUAGCUAUGUUCGGAAAAGAUAACCGCUGAAAGCAUCUAAGCGGGAAACUUGCCUCAAGAUGAGAUCUCACUGGGAACUUGAUUCCCCUGAAGGGCCGUCGAAGACUACGACGUUGAUAGGCUGGGUGUGUAAGCGUUGUGAGGCGUUGAGCUAACCAGUACUAAUUGCCCGUGAGGCUUGACCAU
Molecule: ribosomal RNA, 2891 nt
Filed under: Pseudomonas aeruginosa
Lineage: Bacteria; Pseudomonadati; Pseudomonadota; Gammaproteobacteria; Pseudomonadales; Pseudomonadaceae
Description: 23S ribosomal RNA
Rfam family: Bacterial large subunit ribosomal RNA
Source: RNAcentral